CCAGAUGCAGAUUAUUGCUGCCAAACAAGACGAGCUAGCUAGUAAAUCGAUUGCUAACAAAUCAAAUCUGAGUGAAAAGGAAAUACUUUGGCAUGGUACAGUUUGACCAGCCACAGGACCAAAUCAGUUAACCUACUCCCUUUAGUCUGCAUCAAGCAACAGCAUGACGAAGAGAUUACAACAACAACAGUCGCUACAGAUCAAUCGACAGGGGAAGAACAGCAGAAGACCAGAGAUUGUACUGU
Long non-coding RNA from Triticum aestivum (bread wheat), 245 nucleotides. RefSeq lists it as uncharacterized. Lineage: Eukaryota; Viridiplantae; Streptophyta; Magnoliopsida; Poales; Poaceae. The transcript has 3 exons. The record is from RefSeq and is a predicted model, not a curated record.